This 472-nucleotide ribosomal RNA is filed under the name Hoplisoma nattereri (blue corydoras). Its description in RNAcentral is "Corydoras nattereri partial 16S ribosomal RNA". It matches the Rfam family "Bacterial large subunit ribosomal RNA", at positions 1923 to 2559 of the family's 2925-position model. The record is from RNAcentral. Lineage: Eukaryota; Metazoa; Chordata; Actinopteri; Siluriformes; Callichthyidae.
GUUAACGCCGCGGUAUUUGACGGUGCAAGGUAGCGCAAUCACUUGUCUUUUAAAUGAAGACCUGUAUGAAUGGUGGAACGAGGGCCUAACUGUCUCCCUUUUCAAGUCAAUGAAAUUGAUCUAUCCGUGCAGAAGCGGGUAUGCGAAUACAAGACGAGGAGACCCUUUGGAGCUAAAGAUUAAAAAUCAACUAUGUAAUAUACUCCCACAGAUAAACUAAAUAGCAACUGAUCAUAAUCUUCGGUUGGGGCGACCACGGAAUAAAGACAAACUUCCACAUGGACUGAGGACUAACCUUAAACCCAAGAAAGACAUUUCUAAGUCACAGAAUUUCUGACCACACAGAUCCGGCAAACCGCCGAUCAAUGGACCAAGUUACCCUAGGGAUAACAGCGCAAUCCCCUUUUAGAGUUCCUAUCGACAAGGGGGUUUACGACCUCGAUGUUGGAUCAGGACAUCCUAAUGGUGCAGC